GCACCACAUAACUUUGAAAUAUUAAUUACUUUAAAUGUAAGUUCAUCAUCUCUAGAAAAUGGAGUGAACACCUGUGUUCAAGGCCUUGCCCAGGAAUUGACAGUAGGACCACUGAAGACCAAGAUAGAUGAAGGGCUUCAACCAAGUGAUUCCAAAAGUAGGAAGGUCACUCCUCUUUGGCACGUGUUAUCAAAUAUCCAGUGAUCGGUAGGAAGAGGACAGCUAACAGCCCUCAUCUGCUGCUUCUCAGGUUGAAUUACAGAAGGGACAGGACAAAUGCUUCUCUCUGUGAUCCCAGCUUGGUCUCUGCACAUCAGUGGUUCUGAACAUUUGUGGCCAGCAUUAUAUGAAGCUCUGGGCGAUUAGACUUAAGGAAUAUGCCCCUGCCUACAUCUAGGUGCAGAUAACUGGAUGUAAAACACAUCAACUUGGAUUUGAAGACAGUUACCAAGGGAAAAUCUAGGCAUGAUCAUGAUCAAUUUUCUUAAUAAUUAGUUAAAUAAGGAGCAGUUGAUCCACAUUAUAUGAACA
Suricata suricatta (meerkat) is the source of this 531-nucleotide long non-coding RNA. RefSeq lists it as uncharacterized. NCBI's taxonomy places the organism in Eukaryota, Metazoa, Chordata, Mammalia, Carnivora, Herpestidae. The transcript has 3 exons. The record is from RefSeq and is a predicted model, not a curated record.